GACGAACGCUGGCGGCGUGCCUAAUACAUGCAAGUUGAGCGCUGACGGUUGGUACUUGUACCAACUGGAUGAGCAGCGAACGGGUGAGUAACGCGUGGGGAAUCUGCCUUUGAGCGGGGGACAACAUUUGGAAACGAAUGCUGAUACCGCAUAAAAACUUUAAACACAAGUUUUAAGUUUGAAAGAUGCAUUUGCAUCACUCAAAGAUGAUCCCGCGUUGUAUUAGCUAGUUGGUGAGGUAAAGGCCCACCAAGGCGAUGAUACAUAGCCGACCUGAGAGGGUGAUCGGCCACAUUGGGACUGAGACACGGCCCAAACUCCUACGGGAGGCAGCAGUAGGGAAUCUUCGGCAAUGGACGAAAGUCUGACCGAGCAACGCCGCGUGAGUGAAGAAGGUUUUCGGAUCGUAAAACUCUGUUGGUAGAGAAGAACGUUGGUGAGAGUGGAAAGCUCAUCAAGUGACGGUAACUACCCAGAAAGGGACGGCUAACUACGUG
This 497-nucleotide ribosomal RNA is filed under the name uncultured bacterium. RNAcentral describes it as "partial 16S ribosomal RNA". It matches the Rfam family "Bacterial small subunit ribosomal RNA", at positions 28 to 507 of the family's 1533-position model. The record is from RNAcentral.